This 48-nucleotide small nucleolar RNA is filed under the name Pyrobaculum arsenaticum DSM 13514. RNAcentral's name for it is "PARsR31". RNAcentral also lists the same sequence under 1 other name. Lineage: Archaea; Thermoproteati; Thermoproteota; Thermoprotei; Thermoproteales; Thermoproteaceae. The record is from RNAcentral.
AUGAAGAGGUAGCUCGCGGCUGAGUAUGAAGAGAGGCAUACUGGCUGA